Molecule: ribosomal RNA, 252 nt
Filed under: uncultured bacterium
Lineage: Bacteria
Description: partial 16S ribosomal RNA
Rfam family: Bacterial small subunit ribosomal RNA
Source: RNAcentral
UACGUAGGGGGCAAGCGUUGUCCGGAUUUACUGGGCGUAAAGAGCGCGUAGGCGGAGAUCUAAGCGUGGCCUGAAAGCCCCCGGCUCAACCGGGGAGUGCGGCUGCGAACUGGGUUUCUUGAGGACGAUAGAGGAGAGUGGAAUUCCUGGUGUAGCGGUGAAAUGCGUAGAUAUCAGGAGGAACACCCGAGGCGAAGGCGGCUCUCUGGGUCGUACCUGACGCUGAGGCGCGAAAGCGUGGGAGCGAACGGG